Molecule: ribosomal RNA, 401 nt
Filed under: uncultured bacterium
Lineage: Bacteria
Description: bacterial SSU rRNA
Rfam family: Bacterial small subunit ribosomal RNA
Source: RNAcentral
CUGGCCUUGACAUCCUGCGAACUUUCUAGAGAUAGAUUGGUGCCUUCGGGAACGCAGUGACAGGUGCUGCAUGGCCGUCGUCAGCUCGUGUCGUGAGAUGUUGGGUUAAGUCCCGUAACGAGCGCAACCCCUAUCCCUGGUUGCUAGCAGGUAAUGCUGAGAACUCCAGGGAGACUGCCGGUGACAAACCGGAGGAAGGUGGGGAUGACGUCAGGUCAUCAUGGCCCUUACGGCCAGGGCUACACACGUGCUACAAUGGCGCGUACAGAGGGCUGCCAACUCGCGAGAGUGAGCCAACCCCUUAAAACGCGUCGUAGUCCGGAUCGGAGUCUGCAACUCGACUCCGUGAAGUCGGAAUCGCUAGUAAUCGCGAAUCAGAAUGUCGCGGUGAAUACGUUCCC